CUGAGAGGUUUAUCCCCCACACUGGUACUGAGACACGGACCAGACUCCUACGGGAGGCAGCAGUGAGGAAUAUUGGUCAAUGGGCGAGAGCCUGAACCAGCCAAGUCGCGUGAAGGAAGACUGUCCUAAGGAUUGUAAACUUCUUUUAUACGGGAAUAACGGGCGAUACGCGUAUUGCUGUGAAUGUACCGUAAGAAUAAGCAUCGGCUAACUCCGUGCCAGCAGCCGCGGUAAUACGGAGGAUGCGAGCGUUAUCCGGAUUUAUUGGGUUUAAAGGGUGCGUAGGUUGUUCGGUAAGUCAGCGGUGAAAACUGAGCGCUCAACGUUCAGCGUGCCGUUGAAACUGCCGGGCUUGAGUUCAGAGGCGGCAGGCGGAAUUCGUGGUGUAGCGGUGAAAUGCAUAGAUAUCACGAGGAACUCCGAUUGCGAAGGCAGCUUGCCAUACUGCGACUGACACUGAAGCACGAAGGCGUGGGUAUCAAACAGGAUUAGAUACCCUGGUAGUCCACGCAGUAAACGAUGAUUACUAGGAGUUUGCGAUAUACCGUCAAGCUUCCACAGCGAAAGCGUUAAGUAAUCCACCUGGGGAGUACGCCGGCAACGGUGAAACUCAAAGGAAUUGACGGGGGCCCGCACAAGCGGAGGAACAUGUGGUUUAAUUCGAUGAUACGCGAGGAACCUUACCCGGGAUUGAAAUGUAGACGACGGAUGGUGAAAGCCGUCUUCCCUUCGGGGCGUCUAUGUAGGUGCUGCAUGGUUGUCGUCAGCUCGUGCCGUGAGGUGUCGGCUUAAGUGCCAUAACGAGCGCAACCCACAUCGGUAGUUGCUAACAGGUUUAGCUGAGGACUCUACCGAGACUGCCGUCGUAAGGCGUGAGGAAGGUGUGGAUGACGUCAAAUCAGCACGGCCCUUACAUCCGGGGCGACACACGUGUUACAAUGGGAGGGACAAAGGGCAGCUACCGGGCGACCGGAUGCGAAUCUCGAAACCCUUCCCCAGUUCGGAUCGGAGUCUGCAACUCGACUCCGUGAAGCUGGAUUCGCUAGUAAUCGCGCAUCAGCCAUGGCGCGGUGAAUACGUUCCCGGGCCUUGUACACACCGCCCGUCAAGCCAUGGGAGUCGGGGGUACCUGAAGGGCGUAACCGCAAGGG
RNAcentral lists this ribosomal RNA (1151 nucleotides) under Porphyromonas gulae. Its description in RNAcentral is "bacterial SSU rRNA". It matches the Rfam family "Bacterial small subunit ribosomal RNA", at positions 292 to 1451 of the family's 1533-position model. Lineage: Bacteria; Pseudomonadati; Bacteroidota; Bacteroidia; Bacteroidales; Porphyromonadaceae. The record is from RNAcentral.